UGGGGAAUAUUGGACAAUGGGCGAAAGCCUGAUCCAGCCAUGCCGCGUGUGUGAAGAAGGUCUUCGGAUUGUAAGGCACUUUAAGUUGGGAGGAAGGGCAGUAAGCGAAUACCUUGCUGUUUUGACGUUACCGACAGAAUAAGCACCGGCUAACUCUGUGCCAGCAGCCGCGGUAAUACAGAGGGUGCAAGCGUUAAUCGGAAUUACUGGGCGUAAAGCGCGCGUAGGUGGUUCGUUAAGUUGAAUGUGAAAGCCCCGGGCUCAACCUGGGAACUGCAUCCAAAGCUGGCGAGGUAGAGUAGGGCAGAGGGUGGUGGAAUUUCCUGUGUAGCGGUGAAAUGCGUAGAUAUAGGAAGGAACACCAGUGGCGAAGGCGACCACCUGGGCUCAUACUGACACUGAGGUGCGAAAGCGUGGGGAGCAAACAGG
This 429-nucleotide ribosomal RNA is filed under the name Pseudomonadota bacterium. Its description in RNAcentral is "Proteobacteria bacterium partial 16S ribosomal RNA". It matches the Rfam family "Bacterial small subunit ribosomal RNA", at positions 355 to 776 of the family's 1533-position model. Lineage: Bacteria; Pseudomonadati; Pseudomonadota. The record is from RNAcentral.